AACACAUGCAAGUCGAGCGGAGAUGAGGUGCUUGCACCUUAUCUUAGCGGCGGACGGGUGAGUAAUGCUUAGGAAUCUGCCUAUUAGUGGGGGACAACAUUCCGAAAGGAAUGCUAAUACCGCAUACGCCCUACGGGGGAAAGCAGGGGAUCUUCGGACCUUGCGCUAAUAGAUGAGCCUAAGUCGGAUUAGCUAGUUGGUGGGGUAAAGGCCUACCAAGGCGACGAUCUGUAGCGGGUCUGAGAGGAUGAUCCGCCACACUGGGACUGAGACACGGCCCAGACUCCUACGGGAGGCAGCAGUGGGGAAUAUUGGACAAUGGGCGGAAGCCUGAUCCAGCCAUGCCGCGUGUGUGAAGAAGGCCUUUUGGUUGUAAAGCACUUUAAGCGAGGAGGAGGCUACUUAGAUUAAUACUCUAGGAUAGUGGACGUUACUCGCAGAAUAAGCACCGGCUAACUCUGUGCCAGCAGCCGCGGUAAUACAGAGGGUGCGAGCGUUAAUCGGAUUUACUGGGCGUAAAGCGUGCGUAGGCGGCUGAUUAAGUCGGAUGUGAAAUCCCUGAGCUUAACUUAGGAAUUGCAUUCGAUACUGGUCAGCUAGAGUAUGGGAGAGGAUGGUAGAAUUCCAGGUGUAGCGGUGAAAUGCGUAGAGAUCUGGAGGAAUACCGAUGGCGAAGGCAGCCAUCUGGCCUAAUACUGACGCUGAGGUACGAAAGCAUGGGGAGCAAACAGGAUUAGAUACCCUGGUAGUCCAUGCCGUAAACGAUGUCUACUAGCCGUUGGGGCCUUUGAGGCUUUAGUGGCGCAGCUAACGCGAUAAGUAGACCGCCUGGGGAGUACGGUCGCAAGACUAAAACUCAAAUGAAUUGACGGGGGCCCGCACAAGCGGUGGAGCAUGUGGUUUAAUUCGAUGCAACGCGAAGAACCUUACCUGGCCUUGACAUAGUAAGAACUUUCCAGAGAUGGAUUGGUGCCUUCGGGAACUUACAUACAGGUGCUGCAUGGCUGUCGUCAGCUCGUGUCGUGAGAUGUUGGGUUAAGUCCCGCAACGAGCGCAACCCUUUUCCUUAUUUGCCAGCGAGUAAUGUCGGGAACUUUAAGGAUACUGCCAGUGACAAACUGGAGGAAGGCGGGGACGACGUCAAGUCAUCAUGGCCCUUACGGCCAGGGCUACACACGUGCUACAAUGGUCGGUACAAAGGGUUGCUACCUAGCGAUAGGAUGCUAAUCUCAAAAAGCCGAUCGUAGUCCGGAUUGGAGUCUGCAACUCGACUCCAUGAAGUCGGAAUCGCUAGUAAUCGCGGAUCAGAAUGCCGCGGUGAAUACGUUCCCGGGCCUUGUACACACCGCCCGUCACACCAUGGGAGUUUGUUGCACCAGAAGUAGGUAGUCUAACCGCAAGGAGGACGCUU
This 1411-nucleotide ribosomal RNA is filed under the name Acinetobacter sp. RNAcentral's name for it is "bacterial SSU rRNA". It matches the Rfam family "Bacterial small subunit ribosomal RNA". Lineage: Bacteria; Pseudomonadati; Pseudomonadota; Gammaproteobacteria; Moraxellales; Moraxellaceae. The record is from RNAcentral.